RNAcentral lists this long non-coding RNA (258 nucleotides) under Mustela putorius furo (domestic ferret). RNAcentral's name for it is "lncRNA (ENSMPUG00000028031.1)". The record is from RNAcentral. Lineage: Eukaryota; Metazoa; Chordata; Mammalia; Carnivora; Mustelidae.
AUGUCCUGGCCACCAUCCUGGUGUACUCUUCCCUGGGUGGAAAGAGAACUGCCUGGAGAGGCCUGCGUCCUCAUCCGUGCACCCUUCAAAGACCACAGGAGUCAGACGUGCUGGGAGCCCAAACACAAGCCCAGUGAGUCCCAGGAUGAGCUGCAGCCUCAGCCUACUUUCUCCUGGGUAGAGUUUUCGCGGUCAGCGCCCUUCUGCUCUACUCUGCUUCAACUUUGUGUUGCUGACCUUCCCGCAGUUACUCCCUGA